Molecule: ribosomal RNA, 460 nt
Filed under: uncultured bacterium
Lineage: Bacteria
Description: partial 16S ribosomal RNA
Rfam family: Bacterial small subunit ribosomal RNA
Source: RNAcentral
CCUACGGGAGGCAGCAGUGAGGAAUAUUGGUCAAUGGACGAGAGUCUGAACCAGCCAAGUAGCGUGAAGGAUGACUGCUCUCUGGGUUGUAAACUUUUUUUACAUGGGAAUAAAACGCUCCACGUGUGGGAUAUUGUACGUCUCACAUGAAUAAGGAUCGGCUAACUCCGUGCCAGCAGCCGCGGUAAUACGGAGGAUCCGAGCGUUAUCCGGAUUUAUUGGGUUUAAAGGGAGCGUAGGUGGAUUGUUAAGUCAGUUGUGAAAGUUUGCGGCUCAACCGUAAAAUUGCAGUUGAAACUGGCAGUCUUGAGUACAGUAGAGGUGGGCGGAAUUCGUGGUGUAGCGGUGAAAUGCUUAGAUAUCACGAAGAACUCCGAUUGCGAAGGCAGUUCACUGGACUGCAACUGACACUGAGGCUCGAAAGUGUGGGUAUCAAACAGGAUUAGAUACCCUAGUAGUC